GACGAACGCUGGCGGCGUGCUUGACACAUGCAAGUCGAACGGAAAGGCCUGCUUUCCCUUGUGGAUUGCGGGUACUCGAGUGGCGAACGGGUGAGUAACACGUGAGUGAUCUGCCCCCAACUUGGGUAUAAGCCUGGGAAACUGGGUCUAAUUCCCGAUAGGACUGCAGGGUGGUGCCUGUGGUGGAAAACGAUUUUCUAGUGGUUGGGGAUGAGCUCGCGGCCUAUCAGCUUGUUGGUGGGGUAAUGGCCUACCAAGGCGGCGACGGGUAGCCGGCCUGAGAGAGUGGACGGCCACAUUGGGACUGAGAUACGGCCCAGACUCCUACGGGAGGCAGCAGUGGGGAAUAUUGCGCAAUGGGCGGAAGCCUGAUGCAGCGACGCCGCGUGGGGGAUGACGGCCUUCGGGUUGUAAACUCCUUUCGACCGCGAGGAAGCCACCUGGAUGGAAGGGUGGUGACGGUAGUGGUAGAAGAAGCACCGGCUAACUACGUG
Molecule: ribosomal RNA, 494 nt
Filed under: uncultured bacterium
Lineage: Bacteria
Description: partial 16S ribosomal RNA
Rfam family: Bacterial small subunit ribosomal RNA
Source: RNAcentral